RNAcentral lists this ribosomal RNA (1482 nucleotides) under Lactiplantibacillus plantarum. RNAcentral's name for it is "bacterial SSU rRNA". It matches the Rfam family "Bacterial small subunit ribosomal RNA". Lineage: Bacteria; Bacillati; Bacillota; Bacilli; Lactobacillales; Lactobacillaceae. The record is from RNAcentral.
AACGCUUGGCGGCGUGCCUAAUACAUGCGAGUCGAACGAACUCUGGUAUUGAUUGGUGCUUGCAUCAUGAUUUACAUUUGAGUGAGUGGCGAACUGGUGAGUAACACGUGGGAAACCUGCCCAGAAGCGGGGGAUAACACCUGGAAACAGAUGCUAAUACCGCAUAACAACUUGGACCGCAUGGUCCGAGCUUGAAAGAUGGCUUCGGCUAUCACUUUUGGAUGGUCCCGCGGCGUAUUAGCUAGAUGGUGGGGUAACGGCUCACCAUGGCAAUGAUACGUAGCCGACCUGAGAGGGUAAUCGGCCACAUUGGGACUGAGACACGGCCCAAACUCCUACGGGAGGCAGCAGUAGGGAAUCUUCCACAAUGGACGAAAGUCUGAUGGAGCAACGCCGCGUGAGUGAAGAAGGGUUUCGGCUCGUAAAACUCUGUUGUUAAAGAAGAACAUAUCUGAGAGUAACUGUUCAGGUAUUGACGGUAUUUAACCAGAAAGCCACGGCUAACUACGUGCCAGCAGCCGCGGUAAUACGUAGGUGGCAAGCGUUGUCCGGAUUUAUUGGGCGUAAAGCGAGCGCAGGCGGUUUUUUAAGUCUGAUGUGAAAGCCUUCGGCUCAACCGAAGAAGUGCAUCGGAAACUGGGAAACUUGAGUGCAGAAGAGGACAGUGGAACUCCAUGUGUAGCGGUGAAAUGCGUAGAUAUAUGGAAGAACACCAGUGGCGAAGGCGGCUGUCUGGUCUGUAACUGACGCUGAGGCUCGAAAGUAUGGGUAGCAAACAGGAUUAGAUACCCUGGUAGUCCAUACCGUAAACGAUGAAUGCUAAGUGUUGGAGGGUUUCCGCCCUUCAGUGCUGCAGCUAACGCAUUAAGCAUUCCGCCUGGGGAGUACGGCCGCAAGGCUGAAACUCAAAGGAAUUGACGGGGGCCCGCACAAGCGGUGGAGCAUGUGGUUUAAUUCGAAGCUACGCGAAGAACCUUACCAGGUCUUGACAUACUAUGCAAAUCUAAGAGAUUAGACGUUCCCUUCGGGGACAUGGAUACAGGUGGUGCAUGGUUGUCGUCAGCUCGUGUCGUGAGAUGUUGGGUUAAGUCCCGCAACGAGCGCAACCCUUAUUAUCAGUUGCCAGCAUUAAGUUGGGCACUCUGGUGAGACUGCCGGUGACAAACCGGAGGAAGGUGGGGAUGACGUCAAAUCAUCAUGCCCCUUAUGACCUGGGCUACACACGUGCUACAAUGGAUGGUACAACGAGUUGCGAACUCGCGAGAGUAAGCUAAUCUCUUAAAGCCAUUCUCAGUUCGGAUUGUAGGCUGCAACUCGCCUACAUGAAGUCGGAAUCGCUAGUAAUCGCGGAUCAGCAUGCCGCGGUGAAUACGUUCCCGGGCCUUGUACACACCGCCCGUCACACCAUGAGAGUUUGUAACACCCAAAGUCGGUGGGGUAACCUUUUAGGAACCAGCCGCCUAAGGUGGGACAGAUGAUUAG